Molecule: ribosomal RNA, 1355 nt
Filed under: uncultured bacterium
Lineage: Bacteria
Description: partial 16S ribosomal RNA
Rfam family: Bacterial small subunit ribosomal RNA
Source: RNAcentral
GAGUUUGAUCCUGGCUCAGAAUGAACGCUGGCGGUAUGCUUAAUACAUGCAAGUCGAACGAAAUAUUUAGCACUUGUGUUAAAUAAUUUAGUGGCGAACGGGUGAGUAACACGUAAGAACUUACCCCUAGACGAGGUACAACAGUUGGAAACGACUGCUAAUACCUCAUAUUACCGGAAGGUGAAAGAAGCAAUUCGUCUAGGGCGAGGCUUGCGUCUGAUUAGCUUGUUGGUGAGGUAAUGGCUCACCAAGGCAUCGAUCAGUAGCUGGUCUGAGAGGAUGAUCAGCCACAUUGGGACUGAGACACGGCCCAGACUCCUACGGGAGGCAGCAGUGGGGAAUUUUCCGCAAUGGGCGAAAGCCUGACGGAGCAACGCCGCGUGAGGGAUGAAGGCCUCUGGGCUGUAAACCUCUUUUAUCAAGGAAGAAGAUCUGACGGUACUUGAUGAAUAAGCCACGGCUAAUUCCGUGCCAGCAGCCGCGGUAAUACGGGAGUGGCAAGCGUUAUCCGGAAUUAUUGGGCGUAAAGCGUCCGCAGGCGGCCCUUCAAGUCUGCUGUUAAAAAGUGGAGCUUAACUCCAUCAUGGCAGUGGAAACUGUUGGGCUUGAGUGUGGUAGGGGCAGAGGGAAUUCCCGGUGUAGCGGUGAAAUGCGUAGAUAUCGGGAAGAACACCAGUGGCGAAGGCGCUCUGCUGGGCCCAUCACUGACGCUCAUGGACGAAAGCCAGGGGAGCGAAAAGGGAUUAGAUACCCCUGUAGUCCUGGCCGUAAACGAUGAACACUAGGUGUCGGGGGAAUCGACCCCCUCGGUGUCGUAGCCAACGCGUUAAGUGUUCCGCCUGGGGAGUACGCACGCAAGUGUGAAACUCAAAGGAAUUGACGGGGGCCCGCACAAGCGGUGGAGUAUGUGGUUUAAUUCGAUGCAACGCGAAGAACCUUACCAGGGUUUGACAUCCUGCGAAUCUCUUGGAAACAGGAGAGUGCCUUCGGGAACGCAGUGACAGGUGGUGCAUGGCUGUCGUCAGCUCGUGUCGUGAGAUGUUGGGUUAAGUCCCGCAACGAGCGCAACCCACGUCUUUAGUUGCCAGCAUUUAGUUGGGCACUCUAGAGAGACUGCCGGUGAUAAACCGGAGGAAGGUGUGGAUGACGUCAAGUCAUCAUGCCCCUUACAUCCUGGGCUACACACGUACUACAAUGCUACGGACAAAGGGCAGCAAGUUCGCGAGGACAAGCAAAUCCCAUAAACCGUGGCUCAGUUCAGAUCGUAGGCUGCAACUCGCCUACGUGAAGGCGGAAUCGCUAGUAAUCGCAGGUCAGCAUACUGCGGUGAAUACGUUCCCGGGCCUUGUACUCAC